GAUGAACGCUGGCGGCGUGCCUAAUACAUGCAAGUCGAGCGAACGGACGAGAAGCUUGCUUCUCUGAUGUUAGCGGCGGACGGGUGAGUAACACGUGGAUAACCUACCUAUAAGACUGGGAUAACUUCGGGAAACCGGAGCUAAUACCGGAUAAUAUUUUGAACCGCAUGGUUCAAAAGUGAAAGACGGUCUUGCUGUCACUUAUAGAUGGAUCCGCGCUGCAUUAGCUAGUUGGUAAGGUAACGGCUUACCAAGGCAACGAUGCAUAGCCGACCUGAGAGGGUGAUCGGCCACACUGGAACUGAGACACGGUCCAGACUCCUACGGGAGGCAGCAGUAGGGAAUCUUCCGCAAUGGGCGAAAGCCUGACGGAGCAACGCCGCGUGAGUGAUGAAGGUCUUCGGAUCGUAAAACUCUGUUAUUAGGGAAGAACAUAUGUGUAAGUAACUGUGCACAUCUUGACGGUACCUAAUCAGAAAGCCACGGCUAACUACGUGCCAGCAGCCGCGGUAAUACGCAGGUGGCAAGCGUUAUCCGGAAUUAUUGGGCGUAAAGCGUGCGUAGGCGGUUUUUUAAGUCUGAUGUGAAAGCCCACGGCUCAACCGUGGAGGGUCAUUGGAAACUGGAAAACUUGAGUGCAGAAGAGGAAAGUGGAAUUCCAUGUGUAGCGGUGAAAUGCGCAGAGAUAUGGAGGAACACCAGUGGCGAAGGCGACUUUCUGGUCUGUAACUGACGCUGAUGUGCGAAAGCGUGGGGAUCAAACAGGAUUAGAUACCCUGGUAGUCCACGCCGUAAACGAUGAGUGCUAAGUGUUAGGGGGUUUCCGCCCCUUAGUGCUGCAGCUAACGCAUUAAGCACUCCGCCUGGGGAGUACGACCGCAAGGUUGAAACUCAAAGGAAUUGACGGGGACCCGCACAAGCGGUGGAGCAUGUGGUUUAAUUCGAAGCAACGCGAAGAACCUUACCAAAUCUUGACAUCCUUUGACAACUCUAGAGAUAGAGCCUUCCCCUUCGGGGGACAAGGUGACAGGUGGUGCAUGGUUGUCGUCAGCUCGUGUCGUGAGAUGUUGGGUUAAGUCCCGCAACGAGCGCAACCCUUAAGCUUAGUUGCCAUCAUUAAGUUGGGCACUCUAAGUUGACUGCCGGUGACAAACCGGAGGAAGGUGGGGAUGACGUCAAAUCAUCAUGCCCCUUAUGAUUUGGGCUACACACGUGCUACAAUGGACAAUACAAAGGGCAGCGAAACCGCGAGGUCAAGCAAAUCCCAUAAAGUUGUUCUCAGUUCGGAUUGUAGUCUGCAACUCGACUACAUGAAGCUGGAAUCGCUAGUAAUCGUAGAUCAGCAUGCUACGGUGAAUACGUUCCCGGGUCU
Molecule: ribosomal RNA, 1372 nt
Filed under: uncultured bacterium
Lineage: Bacteria
Description: bacterial SSU rRNA
Rfam family: Bacterial small subunit ribosomal RNA
Source: RNAcentral